Molecule: ribosomal RNA, 478 nt
Filed under: uncultured bacterium
Lineage: Bacteria
Description: partial 16S ribosomal RNA
Rfam family: Bacterial small subunit ribosomal RNA
Source: RNAcentral
GACGAACGCAGGCGGCGUGCUUAACACAUGCAAGUCGAACGGUAAGGCCCUUCGGGGUACACGAGUGGCGAACGGGUGAGUAACACGUGGGUGAUCUGCCCUGCACUUCGGGAUAAGCCUGGGAAACUGGGUCUAAUACCGGAUAGGACCACUGCCUGCAUGGGUGGUGGUGGAAAGCUUUUGCGGUGUGGGAUGGGCCCGCGGCCUAUCAGCUUGUUGGUGGGGUGAUGGCCUACCAAGGCGACGACGGGUAGCCGGCCUGAGAGGGUGACCGGCCACACUGGGACUGAGAUACGGCCCAGACUCCUACGGGAGGCAGCAGUGGGGAAUAUUGCACAAUGGGUGCAAGCCUGAUGCAGCGACGCCGCGUGAGGGAUGACGGCCUUCGGGUUGUAAACCUCUUUCAGCACCGACGAAGCGCAAGUGACGGUAGGUGCAGAAGAAGGACCGGCCAUCUACGUGCCAGCAGCCGCGGUAA